RNAcentral lists this ribosomal RNA (165 nucleotides) under Plasmodium vivax (malaria parasite P. vivax). RNAcentral's name for it is "5.8S ribosomal RNA". Lineage: Eukaryota; Apicomplexa; Aconoidasida; Haemosporida; Plasmodiidae. The record is from RNAcentral.
UGGCUCAAUCUUAACGAUGGGUGAGUCUCUUGGUGUUUGGAGCGAUGAAGGGUGCAGCCAAGUGCGAUGCGCAGUGAAAAUUGCCGUGACUGUGAAUCUUAUGAAAGAUUAAUGUAAACUACACCAAUUCUUUUGAGGAAGAAUAAGGGCGCUCCUUCAUAAAAA